AGUUUACUAUGUUACUGCUAGAGACCCCAUGCUUGGGGUCUGUGUAUAUAAGUGGACCAUCUGGCCAUAAUAAAACAUUCCUAUUGUACCCUUCAUCAAGUCUUGACUCAUGUUUGGGUAUGCGAGCAAAGCAGCGAUUGUUUUUAACCAAGAUCUACUGGGAUUUGGGGAGAAUACGAACGAGCAUACUAUGCAAACGGGCUAUAAUCCCUUAAACCUCUAGCAUUUUGGGAGUGUGCGAACGAACAUACUUCACGAAGUGCAUGAGGUUCGUUACACUGUGGCCUAUUUUCCCCAGUUCUAUUUCAUGUUGCGUUAAUGGGAAUGAAGGGGUACACAUAGGGGCACUACACAAAUUCCCACUACUUGCACACAAGCCAUAAGACACACAAGUAUCAACUGAUUCAGGUGGAAGGGGAUUUCAAUUGCUGUUUCCCCCACCAUUAUCUUCUUGGUUUGUGCUCCGCAAGUAACACCAACCCUCAAUAGGAAGCCAGUAAC
Non-coding RNA from Pelobates cultripes (western spadefoot toad), 501 nucleotides. The record is from the annotation of a GenBank genome assembly. NCBI's taxonomy places the organism in Eukaryota, Metazoa, Chordata, Amphibia, Anura, Pelobatidae.